GCCUAACAAAGAAACCUCCUUUUUUAAAUUCCUCUUUUCUCCUCUAGCAGCCAACGGGAAGUUUGAGCCCGCCAAGCGGUUGACAUAGAAACCAGGGGACGCAAAUUACAGAGUGGUUGGAGGAGCGAUGGAGGAUGAAGAAGAGGUCGAAGAACCCAAAGCAAAGGUGAAGGAGGUGAAGAUGUCGACGAUUGUUAUGACGCUCUUCCCUACAGCCGUCACCGAAGAAAAGCUUCAGGAAUCCAAGGAAAAAGCCAUCACUCGCAUUUUUGGGCCCGCGAAGACUUUGAUGAAGGUUAAAAACCCCCAAAGAGCAGGAGAUUAUGAAAGCAUUUUGAACAGGAAAAUAGAUGAGCACUGCCGAGAAGGAGAUCUCUACUUCUCCCAAGGGGAAUGGGAGGAAGCCAUCACUCGCUACACCAAGGCUCUGAAUCUGGAUCCCAAC
RNAcentral lists this long non-coding RNA (445 nucleotides) under Pseudonaja textilis. RNAcentral's name for it is "lncRNA (ENSPTXG00000006857.1)". Lineage: Eukaryota; Metazoa; Chordata; Lepidosauria; Squamata; Elapidae. The record is from RNAcentral.